This is a ribosomal RNA of 1047 nucleotides. It matches the Rfam family "Bacterial large subunit ribosomal RNA", at positions 1 to 1044 of the family's 2925-position model.
GAUUAAGUUAUUAAGGGCGCACGGUGGAUGCCUUGGCACUAGAAGCCGAUGAAGGACGUUACUAACGACGAUAUGCUUUGGGGAGCUGUAAGUAAGCUUUGAUCCAGAGAUUUCCGAAUGGGGAAACCCAGCAUGAGUUAUGUCAUGUUAUCGAUAUGUGAAUACAUAGCAUAUCAGAAGGCACACCCGGAGAACUGAAACAUCUUAGUACCCGGAGGAAGAGAAAGAAAAUUCGAUUCCCUUAGUAGCGGCGAGCGAAACGGGAAGAGCCCAAACCAAAAAGCUUGCUUGUUGGGGUUGUAGGACACUCUAUACGGAGUUACAAAGGACGACAUUAGACGAAUCAUCUGGAAAGAUGAAUCAAAGAAGGUAAUAAUCCUGUAGUCGAAAAUGUUGUCUCUCUUGAGUGGAUCCUGAGUACGACGGAGCACGUGAAAUUCCGUCGGAAUCUGGGAGGACCAUCUCCUAAGGCUAAAUACUCUCUAGUGACCGAUAGUGAACCAGUACCGUGAGGGAAAGGUGAAAAGCACCCCGGAAGGGGAGUGAAAUAGAACCUGAAACCGUGUGCUUACAAGUAGUCAGAGCCCGUUAAUGGGUGAUGGCGUGCCUUUUGUAGAAUGAACCGGCGAGUUACGAUUUGAUGCAAGGUUAAGCAGUAAAUGUGGAGCCGUAGCGAAAGCGAGUCUGAAUAGGGCGUUUAGUAUUUGGUCGUAGACCCGAAACCAGGUGAUCUACCCUUGGUCAGGUUGAAGUUCAGGUAACACUGAAUGGAGGACCGAACCGACUUACGUUGAAAAGUGAGCGGAUGAACUGAGGGUAGCGGAGAAAUUCCAAUCGAACCUGGAGAUAGCUGGUUCUCUCCGAAAUAGCUUUAGGGCUAGCCUCAAGUGAUGAUUAUUGGAGGUAGAGCACUGUUUGGACGAGGGGCCCCUCUCGGGUUACCGAAUUCAGACAAACUCCGAAUGCCAAUUAAUUUAACUUGGGAGUCAGAACAUGGGUGAUAAGGUCCGUGUUCGAAAGGGAAACAGCCCAGACCACCAGCUAAGG